This is a long non-coding RNA of Hyaena hyaena (striped hyena), 870 nucleotides long. RefSeq lists it as uncharacterized. The record is from RefSeq and is a predicted model, not a curated record. NCBI's taxonomy places the organism in Eukaryota, Metazoa, Chordata, Mammalia, Carnivora, Hyaenidae. The transcript is spliced from 2 exons.
GUCCGAGCGGGCGGCUCCAGCGGUGUGUGGGCGCGGGCCGCACGCUUCCCGGCGCACCCGGGGCCGGGGCGCCGCGCUCGGGGGGAGACCCUGUGCCCGGGGGCGGCCGCCUGAGUUCCAGACGGCCCUUUCUUGGAAACCCUCCUAAACAUGCUUGGAGGAUGGAGACGGUGCAGCUGCCUGGCGCGGAGGCGGAGUUCAUCCUGGUCCAGUAUAAUCGCCCUAACGUCUCUGCUGGGGCAGAGGCUGCGUCCAGCAGAGAAAUGUCCGGUCCCCUCUAUCCAAGCCUCCUCUCUGGGAACCCUCCUUUGCGCGGGUGAGGCCUGGCCCUCUGCAGACCCUCUGUGGGCGACAUCUGGCUGCCGCUCUUGCUGGGGGAAGUGAACGGAUGGUUCUUGCUGCUGGUGGAGCCUUUGCUUCCUAACCCUCCGACUGGGCCAACAGAUGUCUGCUCCUUAGAUCAACGCUGCAUUGUAUUCUGGGCCCCAGGUCCCUUCCUGCCAUUCCCCUCCAAGUUACUGUUCACCACAUUACUGCUGAUGCAAAGUGCACAAGCCUUUUAGCAUCUCCGACGGGAAAGAGUUUUACUCCAGCGGGGGUUAGGACGGCUGCCCGGGAAGCAUGCCUUCACAGGGCAAAAAAUGCUCUGGAGAAGGAGCAGUUUUUACAGGAUUAUAUACUGUUUUAACACCGUGUACAAGUUCAGAAAAUGGCAGGUCUUCGUCCAGGCAGGAAUCACGGUUAGAACAUCAAGAAUUACAGGAAGCAGGAGGUCACUGCCUCAAGUGAUGUGGGAGCAAAGGCAGAAGGAAAUGGCCGGUAGAACUAAAUGUCCUUAGAACCUGCAGCCCAUGGACAAAUGCUCAAGGC